GCUGGUGUAGCACAGUGGUAGUGCAGCUGAUUCGUAAUCAGCAGGUCGUGCGUUCAAGUCGCAUCACCAGCUCCA
RNAcentral lists this transfer RNA (75 nucleotides) under Ruminiclostridium sp. RNAcentral's name for it is "tRNA-Thr". It matches the Rfam family "tRNA". From Rfam's summary of the family: Transfer RNA (tRNA) molecules are approximately 80 nucleotides in length. Their secondary structure includes four short double-helical elements and three loops (D, anti-codon, and T loops). Lineage: Bacteria; Bacillati; Bacillota; Clostridia; Eubacteriales; Oscillospiraceae. The record is from RNAcentral.